RNAcentral lists this long non-coding RNA (562 nucleotides) under Homo sapiens (human). Its description in RNAcentral is "HSALNT0386224". The record is from RNAcentral. Lineage: Eukaryota; Metazoa; Chordata; Mammalia; Primates; Hominidae.
AAUGCUUUGUUAAAUGGCAGGUGAGCGUUAGCCUGGAAGCCUUGGGUAUCUUAUAUUUACAUGCUGCUUUACAGCUUCUGCAGCAACUUCGUCUUUUCUCAUUGGACCUUGAGAACAAUGCAGAGAUUGCAUUGUCCCCCAUGUCAGAGCCAGGAGAUCAGGGGUGCAGACGUGUGAAGUGACCCAUCCUAGAUCCCACCGCUGUUCGCAUUCUCAAGUUUGAGCUUAGAUCCUCUGCUUCCAAGGUUGGUGGAGUUUUCUCACUGGCUUCACGUACUGGUGUUGGUGGAUAAUAGCGUGAUUAAUUUCACUUUCUGUGUCUUACUCCAUGAGCCCUAAUGCUUCUGCUGAGAUUCCUAAUUCAGUGAAACCUGUUUAGGGGAUCAUCUCUGUUAGGCAGACAGCUGCUGAAAAGGCAUUCACUUUCCAAGCAUGGAUUUUAGAUUAUGGCCAAUCAAGACUCCGGCCUGGAAGAACACCUGUCAGAGACGUUUUUCUACAAGGAGAUGGUCUCUUUAAUCAUAUUUCAUUGUACUUCAGAAAAAGGGAGCAAAGUUUGUCA